GACGAACGCUGGCGGCGUGCUUAACACAUGCAAGUCGAACGGUAAGGCCCUUUCGGGGGUACACGAGUGGCGAACGGGUGAGUAACACGUGGGUGAUCUGCCCUGCACUUCGGGAUAAGCCUGGGAAACUGGGUCUAAUACCGGAUAGGACCCUGGGAUGCAUGUCCUGGGGUGGAAAGCUUUUGCGGUGUGGGAUGGGCCCGCGGCCUAUCAGCUUGUUGGUGGGGUGAUGGCCUACCAAGGCGACGACGGGUAGCCGGCCUGAGAGGGUGACCGGCCACACUGGGACUGAGAUACGGCCCAGACUCCUACGGGAGGCAGCAGUGGGGAAUAUUGCACAAUGGGCGCAAGCCUGAUGCAGCGACGCCGCGUGAGGGAUGACGGCCUUCGGGUUGUAAACCUCUUUCAGCACCGACGAAGCGCAAGUGACGGUAGGUGCAGAAGAAGGACCGGCCAACUACGUGCCAGCCGCCGCGGUAA
RNAcentral lists this ribosomal RNA (480 nucleotides) under uncultured bacterium. Its description in RNAcentral is "partial 16S ribosomal RNA". It matches the Rfam family "Bacterial small subunit ribosomal RNA", at positions 28 to 523 of the family's 1533-position model. The record is from RNAcentral.